Molecule: non-coding RNA, 22 nt
Filed under: Arabidopsis thaliana (thale cress)
Lineage: Eukaryota; Viridiplantae; Streptophyta; Magnoliopsida; Brassicales; Brassicaceae
Source: RNAcentral
CACCAUGAUCUUGUCAGGAUAC